This 468-nucleotide ribosomal RNA is filed under the name uncultured bacterium. RNAcentral describes it as "partial 16S ribosomal RNA". It matches the Rfam family "Bacterial small subunit ribosomal RNA", at positions 28 to 507 of the family's 1533-position model. The record is from RNAcentral.
GACGAACGCUGGCGGCGUGCUUAACACAUGCAAGUCGAACGGAAAGGCCCUGCUUUUGUGGGGUGCUCGAGUGGCGAACGGGUGAGUAUCACGUGAGUAACCUGCCCUUGACUUUGGGAUAACUCCAGGAAACUGGGGCUAUUACCGGAUAGGAGAUCCUGCUGCAUGGUGGGGGUUGGAAAGUUGCGGCGGUGGGGGACGGACUCGUGGUUUAUCAGCUUGUUGGUGGGGUAGUGGCUUACCCAGGCUUCGACGGGUAGCCGGCCUGGGAGGGUGACCGGGCACAAUGGGCUUGGGAUAGCGGCAAGAGGGAUACGGGAGGCAGCGGUGGGGAAUAUUCCACAAUGGGCGGAAGCCGGAUGGAGGAACGCCGGGUGCGGGAAGACGGCUUUUGGGGUGGAACGCGCGUGCGCCUGGGACGAAGCGUGAGUGACGGUAAUGGGUAAAGAAGCACCGGCUAACUACGUG